AGAGUUUGAUCCUGGCUCAGGACGAACGCUGGCGGCGUGCUUAACACAUGCAAGUCGAACGAAGCUUGAAUACGGAAUUCUUCGGAAUGAAGUAUGAUAUGACUUAGUGGCGGACGGGUGAGUAACGCGUGAGUAACCUGCCUUUCAGAGGGGGAUAACGUUUGGAAACGAACGCUAAUACCGCAUAAUAUAUAUUUAAGGCAUCUUAGAUAUAUCAAAGAUUUAUCGCUGAGAGAUGGACUCGCGUCUGAUUAGAUAGUUGGUGAGGUAACGGCUCACCAAGUCGACGAUCAGUAGCCGGACUGAGAGGUUGAACGGCCACAUCGGGACUGAGACACGGCCCAGACUCCUACGGGAGGCAGCAGUGGGGAAUAUUGCACAAUGGGCGCAAGCCUGAUGCAGCAACGCCGCGUGAGGGAAGACGGUCUUCGGAUUGUAAACCUUUGUCUUUGGUGAAGAAGAAAGUGACGGUAGCCAAGGAGGAAGCCACGGCUAACUACGUGCCAGCAGCCGCGGUAAUACGUAGGUGGCAAGCGUUGUCCGGAAUUACUGGGUGUAAAGGGAGCGCAGGCGGGACAGCAAGUUGGAUGUGAAAUACCGAGGCUUAACCACGGAGCUGCAUCCAAAACUGUUGUUCUUGAGUGAAGUAGAGGUAGGCGGAAUUCCGAGUGUAGCGGUGAGAUGCGUAGAGAUCGGGAGGAACACCAGUGGCGAAGGCGGCCUACUGGGCUUUAACUGACGCUGAGGCACGAAAGUGUGGGUAGCAAACAGGAUUAGAUACCCUGGUAGUCCACACUGUAAACGAUGAUUACUAGGGGUGGGGGGGUCUACCCCCCUCCGUGCCCGGAGUUAACACAAUA
This 860-nucleotide ribosomal RNA is filed under the name uncultured bacterium. Its description in RNAcentral is "bacterial SSU rRNA". It matches the Rfam family "Bacterial small subunit ribosomal RNA", at positions 8 to 862 of the family's 1533-position model. The record is from RNAcentral.